Molecule: ribosomal RNA, 1236 nt
Filed under: uncultured bacterium
Lineage: Bacteria
Description: partial 16S ribosomal RNA
Rfam family: Bacterial small subunit ribosomal RNA
Source: RNAcentral
UGGCGAACGGGUGAGUAAUACAUCGGAACGUGCCCAGUCGUGGGGGAUAACUACUCGAAAGAGUAGCUAAUACCGCAUACGAUCUGAGGAUGAAAGCGGGGGACCUUCGGGCCUCGCGCGAUUGGAGCGGCCGAUGGCAGAUUAGGUAGUUGGUGGGAUAAAAGCUUACCAAGCCGACGAUCUGUAGCUGGUCUGAGAGGACGACCAGCCACACUGGGACUGAGACACGGCCCAGACUCCUGCGGGAGGCAGCAGUGGGGAAUUUUGGACAAUGGGCGAAAGCCUGAUCCAGCAAUGCCGCGUGCAGGAUGAAGGCCUUCGGGUUGUAAACUGCUUUUGUACGGAACGAAAAAGCUUCUCCUAAUACGAGAGGCCCAUGACGGUACCGUAAGAAUAAGCACCGGCUAACUACGUGCCAGCAGCCGCGGUAAUACGUAGGGUGCGAGCGUUAAUCGGAAUUACUGGGCGUAAAGCGUGCGCAGGCGGUUAUGUAAGACAGAUGUGAAAUCCCCGGGCUCAACCUGGGAACUGCAUUUGUGACUGCAUGGCUAGAGUACGGUAGAGGGGGAUGGAAUUCCGCGUGUAGCAGUGAAAUGCGUAGAUAUGCGGAGGAAUACCGAUGGCGAAGGCAGCCAUCUGGCCUAAUACUGACGCUGAGGUACGAAAGCAUGGGGAGCAAACAGGAUUAGAUACCCUGGUAGUCCAUGCCGUANACGAUGUCUACUAGCCGUUGGGGCCUUUGAGGCUUUAGUGGCGCAGCUAACGCGAUAAGUAGACCGCCUGGGGAGUACGGUCGCAAGACUAAAACUCAAAUGAAUUGACGGGGGCCCGCACAAGCGGUGGAGCAUGUGGUUUAAUUCGAUGCAACGCGAAGAACCUUACCUGGUCUUGACAUAGUAAGAACUUUCCAGAGAUGGAUUGGUGCCUUCGGGAACUUACAUACAGGUGCUGCAUGGCUGUCGUCAGCUCGUGUCGUGAGAUGUUGGGUUAAGUCCCGCAACGAGCGCAACCCUUUUCCUUAUUUGCCAGCGGGUUAAGCCGGGAACUUUAAGGAUACUGCCAGUGACAAACUGGAGGAAGGCGGGGACGACGUCAAGUCAUCAUGGCCCUUACGACCAGGGCUACACACGUGCUACAAUGGUCGGUACAAAGGGUUGCUACCUAGCGAUAGGAUGCUAAUCUCAAAAAGCCGAUCGUAGUCCGGAUUGGAGUCUGCAACUCGACUCCAUGAAGUCG